Long non-coding RNA from Labrus mixtus (cuckoo wrasse), 87 nucleotides. RefSeq lists it as uncharacterized. The transcript is spliced from 2 exons. NCBI's taxonomy places the organism in Eukaryota, Metazoa, Chordata, Actinopteri, Labriformes, Labridae. The record is from RefSeq and is a predicted model, not a curated record.
GUUAUAAGAACCUGUUGGUUCUAUCAGUAUAAAGGGUGUUAUAAGAACCCGUUGGUUCUAUCUGUAUAAAGGGCGUUAUAAGAACCC